This 595-nucleotide long non-coding RNA is filed under the name Physcomitrium patens. RNAcentral describes it as "long non-coding RNA (PPAT_LNC011691)". Lineage: Eukaryota; Viridiplantae; Streptophyta; Bryopsida; Funariales; Funariaceae. The record is from RNAcentral.
CCUUAGUAGUCUGCCAACCUUGGCUCCUUUCAAAGAUCGACAUAUCUCCCUUGAAAUAUCUUCCUGAAUUGAAGUCGCUUGAGUCAUCAGCUCCUACCACAAUUUCUCCAAUGAGAAGAUAUAACACCUUUUCCAGGAUUGUUCCAUCAAUCCCAAUAAUUCAUCCUUGUACCACAUUCGAUCCAUCCUUCGGGUCAUAGUUUGCGAUAUAUUCCUCCACUAAUGACACAUUAAUUGAUGGUAAGCAAUCCGAUAGGUGCAAAAAUUGGAACAAUUGUGCAUUCUAAAAGUCUUUUAUUCUUUUUGGCAUCCAAUAGAUAUCCAACUUCAUUGGUUCCAUAUUGGUAACGAUUAUCAUAGAAGGUGGUUUUGAUACGCAUCUAGCUCUCACAUUUUCGCCACUGUUCUCUUUGUCUGUAGCUCGCUUUGCACUUUCAAUUACCAUGAUGCUCCCUCUCUCAAACUCUUAACUGGAAUUACUAUGUUCAAAAAUGUAAGAAACACAAGAACUAGCAAUCUCAAAAAACAACCAAGAACGACAAGACAGAAUGACCUCUAACUGGUGCCCCACUACUAUUCUCUUACUACUGGUGAU